UGGGGAAUAUUGCACAAUGGCGAAAGCCUGAUGCAGCGACGCCGCGUGAGGGAUGACGGCCUUCGGGUUGUAAACCUCUUUCAGCAGGGAAGAAGCGAAAGUGACGGUACCUGCAGAAGAAGCGCCGGCUAACUACGUGCCAGCGGCCGCGGUAAUACGUAGGGCGCAAGCGUUGUCCGGAAUUAUUGGGCGUAAAGAGCUCGUAGGCGGUUAGUCGCGUCUGCUGUGAAAACUCGAGGCUCAACCUCGGGCUUGCAGUGGGUACGGGCUGACUAGAGUGCGGUAGGGGUGACUGGAAUUCCUGGUGUAGCGGUGGAAUGCGCAGAUAUCAGGAGGAACACCGAUGGCGAAGGCAGGUCACUGGGCCGCAACUGACGCUGAGGAGCGAAAGCAUGGGGAGCGAACAGGAUUAGAUACCCUGGUAGUCCAUGCCGUAAAACGUUGGGCACUAGGUGUGGGGUCCAUUCCACGGAUUCCGUGCCGCAGCAAACGCAUU
This 496-nucleotide ribosomal RNA is filed under the name uncultured bacterium. RNAcentral's name for it is "partial 16S ribosomal RNA". It matches the Rfam family "Bacterial small subunit ribosomal RNA", at positions 355 to 861 of the family's 1533-position model. The record is from RNAcentral.